UCCCUGGUAGCUCAGAGGUUAAAGCGUCUGCCUGCAAUGCGGGAGACCUGGGUUCAAUCCCUGGAUUGGGAA
Molecule: transfer RNA, 72 nt
Filed under: Bos taurus (domestic cattle)
Lineage: Eukaryota; Metazoa; Chordata; Mammalia; Artiodactyla; Bovidae
Also listed under: 4 other names
Rfam family: tRNA
About the family: Transfer RNA (tRNA) molecules are approximately 80 nucleotides in length. Their secondary structure includes four short double-helical elements and three loops (D, anti-codon, and T loops).
Source: Rfam by way of RNAcentral